Molecule: long non-coding RNA, 664 nt
Filed under: Homo sapiens (human)
Lineage: Eukaryota; Metazoa; Chordata; Mammalia; Primates; Hominidae
Description: non-protein coding lnc-FSTL4-3:1
Source: RNAcentral
CAAGGGCUCCAAGGAUGCCCAGGAGGAAAGGCGGCUCCAAAAGACUAGAGGUGCCCUAACGUUCCAGGGAGGCAGGAAGGUUGCUGGGCUAAAGGUAUUCUAGCACACAUACCCCAAAAAGAGAAUGUUGUCUCAGAGGAAAGAGCAGAGCUGUCUCCCCCAGACCCACUCUAGAAGGCAGCAAAGAGUAAUGUAGAAAUAUCCCCACUCUGCCAGGGGCAUCAUGGUGCAUGCCUAUAAUCCCAGUGACUAGGGAGGCUGAGGCAGGGGAAUUGCUUGAACCCAGGAGGCGGAGGUUGCGGUGAACCUAGAUCACGCCACUGCACUCCAGCCUGGGCAACAGAGCGAGACUCCGUCUCAAAAUAAAAUAAAUAAAAUAAAAAAUAAAAAUAAAUAAAUGAAACAGAUAAAGGGAAGACUUAAAAAUUAUAAGAUACUUCGCUAUUAUUUGCUAACGAAUUUGAAGAUCUCAAUGACAAGAAUUUCUGUGGGAAAAUAUAAAUUCUCAAAACUGACCCUAUAAGGCUUUUUAAGACCAAUAAUCAAGAAAAAAGUUGAAGACGUUACCAAAUAUUUACUUCCGUAAAAGACUCUAGGUCCAGAUGUUGAAUCUGCUUUCAAGAACUGCUAAUUUUUGUCAUAUAAACUGUUCUACCACAUUAAA